UGGGCAACCUGCCCCUCCCUCUGGGAUAACCCCGGGAAACCCGGAGCUAAUACCGGAUACUCCGGCUGGAUCGCAUGGUCCGGCCGGGAAAGGUCCGCCGGAGAGGGAUGGGCCCGCGGCCUAUCAGCUUGUUGGUGGGGUCAUGGCUCACCAAGGCGACGACGGGUAGCUGGUCUGAGAGGACGACCAGCCACACUGGAACUGAGACACGGUCCAGACUCCGUACGGGAGGCA
RNAcentral lists this ribosomal RNA (234 nucleotides) under uncultured bacterium. Its description in RNAcentral is "partial 16S ribosomal RNA". It matches the Rfam family "Bacterial small subunit ribosomal RNA", at positions 118 to 350 of the family's 1533-position model. The record is from RNAcentral.